GCAAGUCGAGCGCACCUUCGGGUGAGCGGCGGACGGGUUAGUAACGCGUGGGAACAUACCCUUUUCUACGGAAUAGCCUCGGGAAACUGAGAGUAAUACCGUAUAAGCCCUUCGGGGGAAAGAUUUAUCGGGAAAGGAUUGGCCCGCGUUAGAUUAGAUAGUUGGUGGGGUAAUGGCCUACCAAGUCUACGAUCUAUAGCUGGUUUUAGAGGAUGAUCAGCAACACUGGGACUGAGACACGGCCCAGACUCCUACGGGAGGCAGCAGUGGGGAAUCUUAGACAAUGGGCGCAAGCCUGAUCUAGCCAUGCCGCGUGUGUGAUGAAGGUCUUAGGAUCGUAAAGCACUUUCGCCAGGGAUGAUAAUGACAGUACCUGGUAAAGAAACCCCGGCUAACUCCGUGCCAGCAGCCGCGGUAAUACGGAGGGGGUUAGCGUUGUUCGGAAUUACUGGGCGUAAGCGUACGUAGGCGGAUCAGAAAGUUGGGGGUGAAAUCCCGGGGCUCAACCCCGGAACUGCCUCAAAACUCCUGGUCUUGAGUUCGAGAGAGGUGAGUGGAAUUCCAAGUGUAGAGGUGAAAUUCGUAGAUAUUUGGAGGAACACCAGUGGCGAAGGCGGCUCACUGGCUCGAUACUGACGCUGAGGUACGAAAGUGUGGGGAGCAAACAGGAUUAGAUACCCUGGUAGUCCACACCGUAAACGAUGAAUGCCAGUCGUCGGGCAGUAUACUGUUCGGUGACACACCUAACGGAUUAAGCAUUCCGCCUGGGGAGUACGGUCGCAAGAUUAAAACUCAAAGGAAUUGACGG
RNAcentral lists this ribosomal RNA (808 nucleotides) under Sulfitobacter sp. MAR6. Its description in RNAcentral is "bacterial SSU rRNA". It matches the Rfam family "Bacterial small subunit ribosomal RNA", at positions 57 to 916 of the family's 1533-position model. The record is from RNAcentral. Lineage: Bacteria; Pseudomonadati; Pseudomonadota; Alphaproteobacteria; Rhodobacterales; Roseobacteraceae.